GAACCAGACAGGCGCUGGGCCGUGAGGGAAGAACCCUUGGGAAGCGCGCGGAGCAGGUGGGACGCCCUGGCGCCGGACCCCUGCCCGCAGCCCGCGCCCCGCGCUGCCCACGGCCCACAGCAGCGCAGGCGCUCCGAGACGCACGCAAGCGUGGGAGGAGAAGAAUCCGAGGGGCGCCCAGAACCGCUUCUGACUUUGGCAACACCGCGAGUCCCUGUCUGCCCGGAGAAAUCCGGAAUCAGAGCCCCCCAUGGUCAUCACCUCCUUGUCCCCCGCAGAAAGCCCAGAGGGCUCAGAAGUAAUGCAAGGGCGGGGGAUCACCCGCGGACCCCGCAGGGAGCAGGAGCCAGGUCCCCGGGGUCACGGACAGGCACGCGGGAGCCCCUGGCGCCUUCCUUUCCCCGGGGAGCCCCAGGGGCGGCCCAGAGCCCCGCGCGCGCAUCUCGCUGCUGGAGCCGCCUGGAGACCCGCACGGCGCCCGGGACGCGGGGCGGCAGCAGGCCCCCGGGAACCGAGUUAACGCCAUUAGGAGUCGGAAGCAGGUGGCGCGGUAAUGGCGCGUUUUUCAUUUCGUUUAUUAGCAAAGCGAGCGCGGGGGGCGUCGUCUGUUUCCAUCAGCACUGGCGGCACGAAAAUCGUCGGGGCCGCGGCCUCGUGCGCCCCGCGUCUCCCUGGCCGCUUUCUCUUAAAGCGCACGCCCCGCUCCCGGCCCCCGGCGCCCCAAGGCCGUGCGUGAGCGCGCGGUGCGCGGCCAGGUAGGUCCUGGCGGGAGCGGCUCUGGGGGUCGUCCUGGGCUGCACGCUCGCAGACCCCUCAGAUGCAGCCUCCCUCCAGACAAAGGAACCGCGCGCCGCCCGGGUCCCGCACCCCUGCUCGGCCCCAGCCAGCGCCGCAGGCCCCACGCGCGCCGCGUUCCUCCCGGGCCGCUCCCGCACCCGGCGCGGCGCCGCGGCCCUCGCGCGCCCUCUAGCGGCGCCGGUCGGGACCGCCCCGCGCCGCGACCCCACGCCCCGACCCCGCACCGGG
Molecule: long non-coding RNA, 1026 nt
Filed under: Oryctolagus cuniculus (rabbit)
Lineage: Eukaryota; Metazoa; Chordata; Mammalia; Lagomorpha; Leporidae
Description: lncRNA (ENSOCUG00000034603.1)
Source: RNAcentral